Molecule: long non-coding RNA, 233 nt
Filed under: Mytilus galloprovincialis (Mediterranean mussel)
Lineage: Eukaryota; Metazoa; Mollusca; Bivalvia; Mytilida; Mytilidae
Source: RNAcentral
CGGCCAUCUUAAUUAUUGGGCGGGGUCAUCGGAUACUUUUUUGAAACUAAAUACCCUAAGGAUGAUUUUGGCCAUGUUUGCUUUAAUUUUGCCAGUAGUUUCAGAAGAGAAGAUUUUUGUAAAAAUUAAUGACGACGACGAAUAAUGAGAAAAUGAGAAAAGCUCACUUAGUCCUAUGGUCCAGGUGAGCUAAAAAGCAAAACGGACAAAAAGCAACGGACAAAAAGCAAAAG